AGAGUUUGAUCCUGGCUCAGAUUGAACGCUGGCGGCAUGCUUUACACAUGCAAGUCGAACGGCAGCACGGGGGCAACCCUGGUGGCGAGUGGCGAACGGGUGAGGAAUGCACCGGAACGUAUCUUCAAGUGGGGGAUAACGCAUCGAAAGGUGUGCUAAUACCGCAUAAUCUCUGAGGAGAAAAGCAGGGGAUCGCAAGACCUUGCGCCUUUGGAGCGGCCGAUGCCUGAUUAGCUUGUUGGUGAGGUAAAAGCUCACCAAGGCUCCGAUCAGUAGCUGGUCUGAGAGGACGACCAGCCACACUGGGACUGAGACACGGCCCAGACUCCUACGGGAGGCAGCAGUGGGGAAUUUUGGACAAUGGGGGCAACCCUGAUCCAGCCAUGCCGCGUGAGUGAAGAAGGCCUUCGGGUUGUAAAGCUCUUUCAGCCGGAACGAAACGGUCACGGUUAAUACCCGUGACUACUGACGGUACCGGAAGAAGAAGCACCGGCUAACUACGUGCCAGCAGCCGCGGUAAUACGUAGGGUGCGAGCGUUAAUCGGAAUUACUGGGCGUAAAGCGUGCGCAGGCGGUUUUGUAAGUCAGAUGUGAAAUCCCCGGGCUUAACCUGGGAACUGCGUUUGAAACUGCAAGGCUAGAGUGUGGCAGAGGGGGGUGGAAUUCCGCGUGUAGCAGUGAAAUGCGUAGAGAUGUGGA
RNAcentral lists this ribosomal RNA (699 nucleotides) under uncultured bacterium. Its description in RNAcentral is "bacterial SSU rRNA". It matches the Rfam family "Bacterial small subunit ribosomal RNA", at positions 8 to 702 of the family's 1533-position model. The record is from RNAcentral.